Molecule: ribosomal RNA, 1040 nt
Filed under: Luidia hardwicki
Lineage: Eukaryota; Metazoa; Echinodermata; Asteroidea; Paxillosida; Luidiidae
Description: partial large subunit ribosomal RNA
Rfam family: Bacterial large subunit ribosomal RNA
Source: RNAcentral
CUGUACCUUUUGUAUGAUGGUCUAGCAAGAAAAAAAAAGGUAGUUUUGUUCCCCGAAGUUGGUCGAGCUAGUGUAUUCUAUUUUUAGAUUAAAGCUUUUACUGUUGCAGUAGUAAGGUGUGAGAAUACAUUAGGUGUGAAAUGCUUAUCGUGUCCAAUUAUAGCUGGUUCUUCAAGAAAUUAAUUUAAGUUAAGUUAAAAGGUUUUAUUUGAUUUGUAUUCUUUUUUGGGAAAUCAAAGAGAGAAAAAUAAGGCUUUUAUGGUUAGACUAAUAGGGAUAAGCUUAUUAGUCAAGAAGAAAAAACUUUAUUUAUUAAUUAAAAACAAGAUACAAUGAAUGCGUUAUUAGGAUAAAAAAAGUAGGAUUAGUAGCAUCUAUCUUUAUGAAAAGCGUUAAAGCUUUUUUUAUGUAGUUUAGUGCAGAGGAUUUUGUAGAGAAGUUUUGAAGUUGUAAUUUUUUAUUGAAGAAUUUUAUUGGUUAAAAGAUAAAAUGCUAGAAUUAGUAAGAGAACAAAGAUUUUUUGAGGUUUAAUCAUUUCUAACUUUGAAGGAAAAAAUUUCUAUGAUAAUCGAGAAAAAGAAUUUUAAUGAUGUCUUCCAACUCAGGAAAUCAAAAUAAGUUGUAAAUUAGAAAAAAGGAAUUCGGCAAAAGUAAAUCUCGCCUGUUUACCAAAAACAUCGCCCUUUGAAAAGUUAAGCUGAAGAAUAAGGGGUCCUGCCUGCCCAGUGACGUAGAGUUAAACGGCCGCGGUAUCUUGACCGUGCAAAGGUAGCAUAAUCAUUUGCCUUUUAAAUGGAGGCUGGAAUGAAUGGCAAGACGGGGGUUUAACUGUCUCUUUUCUAAUCUCUCUUAAAUUAAUAUCCUUGUGAAGAAGCAGGGGUAGAAUCGUGGGACGAGAAGACCCUAUUGAGCUUUAAUGGUUUAAAUAACUACAGGGUUUUUAUAAUAAACUAAUUUUGUUAUAGAAACAAUUUAAAACUUUAUUUUUUUAUAAAUUAGUAGUUUGUUUAAAAUUGUUUUUGGUGGGGCAACCGCGAAGA